This 469-nucleotide ribosomal RNA is filed under the name uncultured bacterium. RNAcentral's name for it is "partial 16S ribosomal RNA". It matches the Rfam family "Bacterial small subunit ribosomal RNA", at positions 28 to 507 of the family's 1533-position model. The record is from RNAcentral.
GACGAACGCUGGCGGCGUGCUUAACACAUGCAAGUCGAACGAAGAAGCACCAGCUUUCUGGUGUGGAUUAGUGGCGAACGGGUGAGUAAAACGUGAGUAACCUGCCCCUCACUCUGGGAUAAACCUUGGAAACUGGGUCUAAUACUGGAUACGACCGAUCUCCGCAUGGGGUGUUGGUGGGAAGUUUUUGUGGUGGGGGAUGGACUCGCGGCCUAUCAGCUUGUUGGUGGGGUAAUGGCGUACCAAGGCGACGACGGGUAGCCGCCCUGAGAGGGCGACCGGCCACACUGGGACUGAGGCACGGCACAGACUGCUACGGGAGGCAGCAGUGGGGAAUAUUGCACAAUGGGCGAAAGCCGGAUGCAGCGACGCCGCGUGAGGGAUGACGGCCUUCGGGUUGUAAACCUCUUUCGCCAGGGACGAAGCUAACGUGACGGUACCUGGAGAAGAAGCACCGGCUAACUACGUG